UGCCAGCAGCCGCGGUAAUACGAAGGGUGCUAGCGUUGUUCGGAAUUACUGGGCGUAAAGCGCGCGUAGGCGGAUUAGUCAGUUGGGGGUGAAAGCCCGGAGCUCAACUCCGGAAUUGCCUUCAAUACUACUAGUCUUGAGUUCGAGAGAGGGUGGUGGAAUUCCCAGUGUAGAGGUGAAAUUCGUAGAUAUUGGGAAGAACACCAGUGGCGAAGGCGGCCAUCUGGACGGGUACUGACGCUGAGACGCGAAAGCGUGGGGAGCAAACAGGAUUAGAUA
RNAcentral lists this ribosomal RNA (279 nucleotides) under uncultured bacterium. Its description in RNAcentral is "partial 16S ribosomal RNA". It matches the Rfam family "Bacterial small subunit ribosomal RNA", at positions 506 to 784 of the family's 1533-position model. The record is from RNAcentral.